GAGUUUGAUCAUGGCUCAGGAUGAACGCUAGCGACAGGCUUAACACAUGCAAGUCGAGGGGCAGCACAGGUAGCAAUACCGGGUGGCGACCGGCGCACGGGUGAGUAACGCGUAUGCAACUUGCCUAUCAGAGGGGGAUAACCCGGCGAAAGUCGGACUAAUACCGCAUGAAGCAGGGGCCCCGCAUGGGGAUAUUUGCUAAAGAUUCAUCGCUGAUAGAUAGGCAUGCGUUCCAUUAGGCAGUUGGCGGGGUAACGGCCCACCAAACCGACGAUGGAUAGGGGUUCUGAGAGGAAGGUCCCCCACAUUGGUACUGAGACACGGACCAAACUCCUACGGGAGGCAGCAGUGAGGAAUAUUGGUCAAUGGGCGUAAGCCUGAACCAGCCAAGUCGCGUGAGGGAUGAAGGUUCUAUGGAUCGUAAACCUCUUUUAUAAGGGAAUAAAGUGCGGGACGUGUCCCGUUUUGUAUGUACCUUAUGAAUAAGGAUCGGCUAACUCCGUGCCAGCAGCCGCGGUAAUACGGAGGAUCCGAGCGUUAUCCGGAUUUAUUGGGUUUAAAGGGUGCGUAGGCGGCCUUUUAAGUCAGCGGUGAAAGUCUGUGGCUCAACCAUAGAAUUGCCGUUGAAACUGGGAGGCUUGAGUAUGUUUGAGGCAGGCGGAAUGCGUGGUGUAGCGGUGAAAUGCUUAGAUAUCACGCAGAACCCCGAUUGCGAAGGCAGCCUGCCAAGCCAUGACUGACGCUGAUGCACGAAAGCGUGGGGAUCAAACAGGAUUAGAUACCCUGGUAGUCCACGCAGUAAACGAUGAUCACUAGCUGUUUGCGAUACACAGUAAGCGGCACAGCGAAAGCGUUAAGUGAUCCACCUGGGGAGUACGCCGGCAACGGUGAAACUCAAAGGAAUUGACGG
Molecule: ribosomal RNA, 910 nt
Filed under: uncultured bacterium
Lineage: Bacteria
Description: bacterial SSU rRNA
Rfam family: Bacterial small subunit ribosomal RNA
Source: RNAcentral